RNA transcript from Salvelinus sp. IW2-2015, 590 nucleotides. It is a transcript of the gene named laminin subunit beta-1-like, with no coding region annotated. The transcript is spliced from 5 exons. Lineage: Eukaryota; Metazoa; Chordata; Actinopteri; Salmoniformes; Salmonidae. The record is from RefSeq and is a predicted model, not a curated record.
CCGGCUUGACUGAUUUUUUUAUCACGGGAGAAUGGGGAUGGUGAAAGGUGAAUGAUGGCUGACAAAGAGGUCCACUGUCACUAAUAUGUGGUAGUGACGUUUUUCUCUGCUUAGCUGACUGAGAUAGGAGAUACAGUCCAUUAUGUUCCAAGUAGGUUACAUUGGCCCUCCUCUAUGCACAGCACUCUGGGGACUUCCUGCAGCUGUUCUCAGGAGACAGGUCAGUGUGUGUAGAGAACACGUUUGACCAGGUGGAGUCGKGCUUCUACUUCAUCGCCCUGGACCACUACACCAAUGAGACAGAGGAUCUCAUGUUUGGACCAAUUAUGCUGAUGCUCCACUGUAAGAACCUGGAGAUCUUGACUGGUUCUGAGGGAGGUGACGUGGCCMCAAACAGUGCCUGGGACACCUUCCAUCACUACCUCUGUCUAGAGAACAGUCGGAGGGUGGUCAAGACAUCUGCCACAACUUYGUGUCAGCUCUGCUUCACCUGGGAUCUAAAGAUGGCUCUAGCUUGUUGAUAUCUGAUGACACCCUAUGUGAUUUGACUCUUGUAUUAUUGACUGUAUUCAAUAAAACUUCCAAUGCCA